UUGAGUAAGUGUACAGGUUCGUGUACCACGAGGAUCAUU
This 39-nucleotide ribosomal RNA is filed under the name Pseudowardomyces humicola. Its description in RNAcentral is "Wardomyces humicola partial 18S ribosomal RNA". The record is from RNAcentral. Lineage: Eukaryota; Fungi; Ascomycota; Sordariomycetes; Microascales; Microascaceae.